This 865-nucleotide ribosomal RNA is filed under the name uncultured bacterium adhufec52.25. RNAcentral describes it as "bacterial SSU rRNA". It matches the Rfam family "Bacterial small subunit ribosomal RNA", at positions 30 to 886 of the family's 1533-position model. The record is from RNAcentral.
UGAACGCUAGCGGCAGGCUUAACACAUGCAAGUCGAGGGGCAGCACGUUAAGGAGUUUACUCUUUAUGGUGGCGACCGGCGGACGGGUGCGUAACGCGUAUGCAACCUGCCUGACACAGGGGGAUAAUCCGAAGAAAUUUGGUCUAAUACCCCAUAAUACCGAUAUAGGCAUCUAUGUUGGUUGAAAGCUUUGGUGGUGUCAGAUGGGCAUGCGUUGUAUUAGCUAGUUGGUGAGGUAACGGCUCACCAAGGCGACGAUACAUAGGGGGACUGAGAGGUUAACCCCCCACACUGGUACUGAGACACGGACCAGACUCCUACGGGAGGCAGCAGUGAGGAAUAUUGGUCAAUGGGCGGAAGCCUGAACCAGCCAUGCCGCGUGCAGGAAGACGGCUCUAUGAGUUGUAAACUGCUUUUGUACUAGGGUAAUUUGCGGUACGUGUACCGUAUUGAAAGUAUAGUACGAAUAAGGAUCGGCUAACUCCGUGCCAGCAGCCGCGGUAAUACGGAGGAUCCAAGCGUUAUCCGGAUUUANUGGGUUUAAAGGGUGCGUAGGCGGCAGAUUAAGUUAGAGGUGAAAUUCCGAGGCUCAACCUUGGCACUGCCUCUGAUACUGGUUUGCUAGCGAGUAGAUGCUGUAGGCGGAAUGUGUGGUGUAGCGGUGAAAUGCAUAGAGAUCACACAGAACACCGAUUGCGAAGGCAGCUUACAAAUUUNAUAUCNGACGCUGAGGCACGAAAGCGUGGGGAGCAAACAGGAUUAGAUACCCUGGUAGUCCACGCAGUAAACGAUGAUAACUCGUUNUCGGCGAUAUACAGUCGGUGACCAAGCGAAAGCGAUAAGUUAUCCACCUGGGGAGUACGUG